UUCGCGGUCAUGGGUGGCUAGACCUCCCAGCGCCGCCCUAUAGGUCCCGCUGGAGGGCAAGCUUUUUACGGUGAUGGGCGUCGGCGGAUCCAUGGUUCAGCGCAUUUCGAGCACAAACCUUGAGCACCAUGGCUGCUUGCCAUGAGCUGCCUCACCAUCGCCGCAAAUAUUCGCAAUCUCCAUCGCCAACAAAUGGAUGACGAGUUCGAGCGGUGACCAUCUGUCCAUGGAGCGGGUGAAUCAACGACAUUGCGUCCAUGUCCCUGCGCACCGUCGAGAAGGCGAUGCGGGCGAUCAGCAGCUACGGUGCCGAGAACAAGAACCUGACGCCGACGUGGUUCCUGCUGCACUACCUCCACAGCCACAAGGCUGACGACCUGAGAUGCCUCGCAGGCCUGGCCAAUACGGUCGUGCACGGCGCGGCGUUGUUUCCUGCCAAGGCCUCUUCUGGGUGUUGUGGGUCGCAUCGUCAGAGAAGAUGAGGAAGGUGGGAAGGUUGGUGGGCAAGUACCUCGCGGAGAACUCGCCGGACAAUGGGCUAGGUGUUUCUAGGUUCCUCGCCAUCACCAAGAGCCUACCCGACUCGGCGAGGGGCUGCUGCAACGUGUGUAAAAGGCACUGAACAUCUACCUCGAGCAAUUGAUGCAUAUGGUGGCUUCUUCUCCGCAUGUGGUAACAAGCAUUUCAAUUGGGGGAGGUGGGACGCUGAUCUCUGUUUACCUGGACGACCUCACCAUCCUGUCUUAUGCUUAGUUGAGCUGGGUAAGCCGUGCUAUUCCAAUCUCAAGGUGGUGAACAACAGCUAGCACCAUGUCGAGUUCAAGGUCAAGACGACAUCUCCAGGGUAGUAUUUCGACGGGCCAACCGUGAGCUUCGUCCAGCCAUGGGAUUCUUGCUUGAUAACAAUUAUAGUAGCCUAGAGGACACAAAUGCUAAAAAGGAAGAAAGCUCUCAUCACAUCAACAACAUGAUUAGAUUACAAUAUUGAUGUGUAAUAAGGGAAUGAUACAGAGGUAGUCACUAUAUCCAUUUUUACGCCGAUUUGUCUCUCUUUGAAAAUUCUGUACUGUUGAUGUGUAAGCGGAAGCUUUGUAAAAUUUUCUGGCCAGACUUGGAUUUGCCAACAAGUUUUAUUUGACCUUGUGAUCUUAUUUUACUGAAAUGUUGUUUAUUACAAGGCAAUGCACUUCGUAUUACUAUUAGUUUCUGUACAAUUCUUUGGUUCCAUGUCAGCAUCCUAGGGGUUCAUACAAUACUGACAUAAUAUUUUUAUUCCGUCAGUCAAUUAACUCUUCACUGUACACGUCCCAAGAUGCUCAUUUCUGUACUAACCUUGUUGUUUCUGUUUUGUUGGUAUCAGAGAUAGCUCUCAGAUAGAGAAGUUAACUUAAUUUUUCAGUUGAGGC
Lolium rigidum is the source of this 1406-nucleotide long non-coding RNA. RefSeq lists it as uncharacterized. The transcript has 6 exons. NCBI's taxonomy places the organism in Eukaryota, Viridiplantae, Streptophyta, Magnoliopsida, Poales, Poaceae. The record is from RefSeq and is a predicted model, not a curated record.